AGCGCAGGCGGUUCGGCCAGUCCAAAGUGAAAUCCCGGGGCUCAACCUCGGACGUGCUUUGGAUACUACCGAACUUGAGUACGUGAGAGGAGAGCGGAAUUCCAGGUGUAGCGGUGAAAUGCGUAGAUAUCUGGAGGAACACCGGUGGCGAAAGCGGCUCUCUGGCGCGAAACUGACGCUGAGGCUCGAAAGCGUGGGGAGCGAACG
RNAcentral lists this ribosomal RNA (207 nucleotides) under uncultured bacterium. RNAcentral describes it as "partial 16S ribosomal RNA". It matches the Rfam family "Bacterial small subunit ribosomal RNA", at positions 568 to 774 of the family's 1533-position model. The record is from RNAcentral.